This 468-nucleotide ribosomal RNA is filed under the name uncultured bacterium. Its description in RNAcentral is "partial 16S ribosomal RNA". It matches the Rfam family "Bacterial small subunit ribosomal RNA", at positions 28 to 507 of the family's 1533-position model. The record is from RNAcentral.
GAUGAACGCUGGCGGCGUGCUUAACACAUGCAAGUCGAACGGAAAGGCCCAAGCUUGCUUGGGUACUCGAGUGGCGAACGGGUGAGUAACACGUGGGUGAUCUGCCCUGCACUUCGGGAUAAGCCUGGGAAACUGGGUCUAAUACCGGAUAGGACGAUGGUUUGGAUGCCAUUGUGGAAAGUUUUUUCGGUGUGGGAUGAGCUCGCGGCCUAUCAGCUUGUUGGUGGGGUAAUGGCCUACCAAGGCGUCGACGGGUAGCCGGCCUGAGAGGGUGUACGGCCACAUUGGGACUAAGAGACGGCCCAGACUCCUACGGGAGGCAGCAGUGGGGAAUAUUGCACAAUGGGCGCAAGCCUGAUGCAGCGACGCCGCGUGGGGGAUGACGGCCUUCGGGUUGUAAACUCCUGUCGCUAGGGACGAAGCGUUUUUGUGACGGUACCUGGAGAAGAAGCACCGGCUAACUACGUG